Long non-coding RNA from Osmia bicornis bicornis, 1587 nucleotides. RefSeq lists it as uncharacterized. The transcript has 2 exons. The record is from RefSeq and is a predicted model, not a curated record. Lineage: Eukaryota; Metazoa; Arthropoda; Insecta; Hymenoptera; Megachilidae.
UUACAGACAGGGUCGGCGUUAGGGUGGGGCGCGGUCGGGCUAGAUCUGUAGGGAGCGCCGCAGCCCGGUGUCCCUAAUAUUUAUUCAUGUAUAUCCGUUUAGAUUAGUAAAGCUGCUAUGUAGUUUAACAAUUUUUACAAUUUAACUACAGAUUCAUCGUUUUAUAUUAUUACCUUGUCUUUUUUUCUUAAAAAUUUUCAGCCCCUGAAUGGGCGUCACGAUAAUCUUGCCCAGGGCGCCAAUAUUGCUAAAACCGGCUCUGUUUACAGAAGUGUAAAUGUGAAAUACUUAGCUUUUCGUCGUAUUUGACUUUGACAGUGUAAACAUUAUUUGACCCCGAAGAGAUUACUGAAUGUAAACAUGCACUUUAUUUAAUUACAUGUUCGAAAUGCAUUCCGCCUUCUGCGACGCAAUAUUCUGCUCUUUUACAGAAGUUUGAAUGCGUUGCUGCAGUUAGACUUGCUGGAUCUACGCGCUGCAUGCUGAGAUGAUUCUUUCUUGCAAUUCUUCAAUAUUAUUAAUUGGUGAUUGAUAUACAAUGGACCGUAAAUAUCCCCAUAAAAAAAAUCAAGUGGAGAUAAGUCCGGGGAACGAGCUGGCCACCGUUAUUUGCCGAAUGACUCUUUUUGUAACAUAUCCAAAAAUCAUCGAAAUCGGGAAGGACGUAGAUACUUGUUCUGUAGUUUCACCAAAAAAAAGAAUAACAAUAGCAACAAAAAAUAAUGAUAGUACAUCUCGUGACACAUUGGUUAUAAAUCGCUAUCGUAAUCGAUAGAACGAUACGUGAAAAAAAAUUCACGCGUCGGAGUUCAUCACCUCUUUCAGGCUCGAACGUCCCAUUCUCCACGAUAUGUAAGUACAUUGCAUUGUAUCGUCGUCGACGGUUCGGUCAACGCACACAUAUUCACAUAUGCGAGCUGCGAAUGAGCGCGCGGUCGAGCGCAGAAAACGAACGCACUGCGCCCUACAGAAGAAACGAGGAACUAAAUUUGUGGUCUGCUUUACCUUUUUGAUAUCUUCCGCGAGUGAACAAUCAACGAUUCACCCACCGGCCGUGGGUACGCCAAUGGAUUGUUCAACGAGCCGCUGCAGGGGCAUCCACCGUUCUGUUCCGAGAGUCACCAGCGGAAAAUCCGCACAAAUGCAGACUCCAUCUGAGCUUGUCGCCAAACCAGCUGGAGCAGCUACUGACGGCGGUGCUGCAGUUCCGAAUACAGGUGUUCCGCAUCCCAAAGUCAACGUUUCCAACGCUGCUCCCUGAGGUUUGCGAAGGUACUUUGAACGCGCUGAAGGAUUUCAUAAAGGUUCCGAGUGGUCCCGCCGAGUGGUUCAGAUCGCCCAAGGCUUCCAAGAACGGUGAAAUUUCCCGGGGUGCUGCGGGACUAUCGACGGGAAACAUAUUACCAUUCAAGCCAUUCCAAACUGCGGGACGGAAUUCUACAAUUAUCGAGGAACGAACUCCGUCGUACCACCGUCGAGAUACAGUACCUCGUCGGUGGUAGAGUCAUGUUGGGCAGGAGUGCGCAUUUUUUCUUUGAAUCGUUGUAAAAUCAAAAAUUUCAAGUGUAAUAAAAUAAAACAAAGUAA